This 412-nucleotide ribosomal RNA is filed under the name Anopheles annularis A. RNAcentral's name for it is "eukaryotic LSU rRNA". It matches the Rfam family "Eukaryotic large subunit ribosomal RNA", at positions 646 to 964 of the family's 3401-position model. The record is from RNAcentral. Lineage: Eukaryota; Metazoa; Arthropoda; Insecta; Diptera; Culicidae.
GACCCGUCUUGAAACACGGACCAAGAAGUCUAUCUUGCGCGCAAGCCAAUGGGUGUGGCGUAGUACCGGCGUGUACUGCCCCCAUAUAUAAAACCCCACAGGCGUAGACAACUCGAACAAUGUCUGAGGGAUUACGGGUUCGGCAUGGCGCAAGCCUUCGUCGGACCCCUCCCAUCCCGGGGUGUCCCGCUACGGGCUGUGUUCGCGUCUCACGAUGCGUUCGCUGUCCCGUGUGGGCAUCCCUCGAGUGCGUAGGAUGCGACCCGAAAGAUGGUGAACUAUGCCUGAUCAGGCCGAAGUCAGGGCAAACCCUGAUGGAGGGCCGAAGCAAUUCUGACGUGCAAAUCGAUUGUCAUAGAUGGGCAUAGGGGCGAAAGACCAAUCGAACCAUCUAGUAGCUGGUUCCUUCCGA